CCAACAAGAGCCCCGCCUCUGGUUUUACCUCAUAUCAGCUUUGACCGCCAAACUUCAGGAGAUUCUGUCAUUGAAACUUACAGAUACGUGGGUCGCUACCAGAAUUCCUUGCUCUGAACGGGAGAAAACGGAUGACCUCUUCAAAAUUUCCCGUCUCUCCGUGUAUCCUGAAAGGUCAUGUCCGAAAGGAAGCGUGAAAUAUAAAAGGAAGCAAUUGACCUGACCUUAUUGGGGUCACUGAGCUGAAUCGUUGUCUAUAGAUCGAGCUAAGGUUAAUUUUCACCGGGAUAUGUCCGCCUCGUUCUGAAUUCUGUGUCUGAUUAUCUGUGCAAUUUUCCAAUAAAGUUGAUAGAAGAGAA
Molecule: non-coding RNA, 359 nt
Organism: Penaeus vannamei (Pacific white shrimp)
Lineage: Eukaryota; Metazoa; Arthropoda; Malacostraca; Decapoda; Penaeidae
Source: RefSeq, a predicted model, not a curated record